GAACCAAGCUCACCCACAUCCCCAGUCAACUGGUAACGUGGCAGGAAGAGAAAGGUCACGUGGCAGCGCGGAAGCUGACCUGCAUGACUCCUCCUCCCGGAACACAGGGCGCUGGGGGCCCACCCUAACUCAGAUGACCUCAUCUUAGUUACAUCCGCCAAGGCCCUGUUUUCAAAUAAGGUCACGUGCUGAGGUUCCGGGGUCGGGGGACGUGAAUGAACCCAGCAGAACUUCCAGUGGCCGCAUGCUGGGCACAAGGGGACUCAACGUGGAGGGGCUGCAGGAAUCGGGGCUGGAGUUUGGUGCCCAAUUUGGGCUCCAACGCCGGCCUGGCCGUUUGGUAGCUGUUUGGUCUUGGACAGGAUAACGAUCGUGCCCACCUGGCCGGCCUGCAGUGAGGAUGGACCAGAGACCAGCAGGAAGCCCCCUCCUCGCCACGGCCCCCAGUGCCUGGCCGAGGGCCGGUGCUCAGCACAAACCAGCCUCACUGAGUGUGUGGCUUGGGUCCCGGCCCCUGGAGAUGGUCAAGGAGAGUCUUGCGUACCUUGUCUCUCUCCCGAAUACUUUGGUCCA
Molecule: non-coding RNA, 573 nt
Organism: Delphinapterus leucas (beluga whale)
Lineage: Eukaryota; Metazoa; Chordata; Mammalia; Artiodactyla; Monodontidae
Source: RefSeq, a predicted model, not a curated record